UGCAAGUCGAACGCGUUGGCCCAAUUGAUUGAUGGUGCUUGCACCUGAUUGAUUUUGGUCGCCAACGAGUGGCGGACGGGUGAGUAACACGUAGGUAACCUGCCCAGAAGCGGGGGACAACAUUUGGAAACAGAUGCUAAUACCGCAUAACAGCGUUGUUCGCAUGAACAACGCUUAAAAGAUGGCUUCUCGCUAUCACUUCUGGAUGGACCUGCGGUGCAUUAGCUUGUUGGUGGGGUAACGGCCUACCAAGGCGAUGAUGCAUAGCCGAGUUGAGAGACUGAUCGGCCACAAUGGGACUGAGACACGGCCCAUACUCCUACGGGAGGCAGCAGUAGGGAAUCUUCCACAAUGGGCGCAAGCCUGAUGGAGCAACACCGCGUGAGUGAAGAAGGGUUUCGGCUCGUAAAGCUCUGUUGUUAAAGAAGAACACGUAUGAGAGUAACUGUUCAUACGUUGACGGUAUUUAACCAGAAAGUCACGGCUAACUACGUGCCAGCAGCCGCGGUAAUACGUAGGUGGCAAGCGUUAUCCGGAUUUAUUGGGCGUAAAGAGAGUGCAGGCGGUUUUCUAAGUCUGAUGUGAAAGCCUUCGGCUUAACCGGAGAAGUGCAUCGGAAACUGGAUAACUUGAGUGCAGAAGAGGGUAGUGGAACUCCAUGUGUAGCGGUGGAAUGCGUAGAUAUAUGGAAGAACACCAGUGGCGAAGGCGGCUACCUGGUCUGCAACUGACGCUGAGACUCGAAAGCAUGGGUAGCGAACAGGAUUAGAUACCCUGGUAGUCCAUGCCGUAAACGAUGAGUGCUAGGUGUUGGAGGGUUUCCGCCCUUCAGUGCCGGAGCUAACGCAUUAAGCACUCCGCCUGGGGAGUACGACCGCAAGGUUGAAACUCAAAGGAAUUGACGGGGGCCCGCACAAGCGGUGGAGCAUGUGGUUUAAUUCGAAGCUACGCGAAGAACCUUACCAGGUCUUGACAUCUUGCGCCAACCCUAGAGAUAGGGCGUUUCCUUCGGGAACGCAAUGACAGGUGGUGCAUGGUCGUCGUCAGCUCGUGUCGUGAGAUGUUGGGUUAAGUCCCGCAACGAGCGCAACCCUUGUUACUAGUUGCCAGCAUUAAGUUGGGCACUCUAGUGAGACUGCCGGUGACAAACCGGAGGAAGGUGGGGACGACGUCAGAUCAUCAUGCCCCUUAUGACCUGGGCUACACACGUGCUACAAUGGACGGUACAACGAGUCGCGAACUCGCGAGGGCAAGCAAAUCUCUUAAAACCGUUCUCAGUUCGGACUGCAGGCUGCAACUCGCCUGCACGAAGUCGGAAUCGCUAGUAAUCGCGGAUCAGCAUGCCGCGGUGAAUACGUUCCCGGGCCUUGUACACACCGCCCGUCACACCAUGAGAGUUUGUAACACCCAAAGUCGGUGGGGUAACCUUUUAGGAGCCAGCCGCCUAAGGUGGGACAGAUGAUUAGGG
RNAcentral lists this ribosomal RNA (1468 nucleotides) under Limosilactobacillus fermentum. Its description in RNAcentral is "bacterial SSU rRNA". It matches the Rfam family "Bacterial small subunit ribosomal RNA". The record is from RNAcentral. Lineage: Bacteria; Bacillati; Bacillota; Bacilli; Lactobacillales; Lactobacillaceae.